Molecule: ribosomal RNA, 838 nt
Filed under: uncultured microorganism
Description: bacterial SSU rRNA
Rfam family: Bacterial small subunit ribosomal RNA
Source: RNAcentral
CGGACGGGUGAGUAACGCGUGGGUAAUCUGGCUCAAACUGGGGGAUAACAACUGGAAACGGUUGCUAAUACCGCAUAAGCUCCCGCUGUCGCAUGGCAGAGAGAGAAAAGAUUUAUCGGUUUGAGAUGAGCCUGCGUUGGAUUAGCUAGUUGGCGGGGUAACGGCCCACCAAGGCGACGAUCCAUAGCCGGACUGAGAGGUCGACCGGCCACAUUGGGACUGAGACACGGCCCAAACUCCUACGGGAGGCAGCAGUGGGGAAUAUUGCACAAUGGGCGAAAGCCUGAUGCAGCAACGCCGCGUGAGGGAAGAAGGCCUUCGGGUUGUAAACCUCUAUCGAUGGGGACGAAAAAAUGACGGUACCCAAGUAAGAAGCACCGGCCAACUACGUGCCAGCAGCCGCGGUAAUACGUAGGGUGCAAGCGUUAUCCGGAAUUACUGGGUGUAAAGGGUGAGUAGGCGGCCUGUAAAGUCAUGUGUGAAAUCGUGCAGCUUAACUGCACAACUGCACAAGAAACUUAUAGGCUAGAGUACAGGAGAGGUUGGCGGAAUUCCUAGUGUAGCGGUGAAAUGCGUAGAUAUUAGGAAGAACACCAGUGGCGAAGGCGGCCAACUGGACUGUAACUGACGCUGAAUCACGAAAGCGUGGGGAGCGAACAGGAUUAGAUACCCUGGUAGUCCACGCCGUAAACGAUGAGUGCUAGGUGUCGGGGGGAGACCUUCGGUGCCGGAGCAAACGCAAUAAGCACUCCACCUGGGGAGUACGUACGCAAGUAUGAAACUCAAAGGAAUUGACGGGGGCCCGCACAAGCGGUGGAGCAUGUGGUUUAAUUCGACG